UUAGGCAGCACAUACACAUACUAACAUUGGGACGAUACAGAGAAGAUCAGCACGGCCCCUGCGCCACAAGAUGAUGCACAAAUUUGUGAGGUGUUCCAUAAAAAA
Molecule: small nuclear RNA, 105 nt
Organism: Leptonychotes weddellii (Weddell seal)
Lineage: Eukaryota; Metazoa; Chordata; Mammalia; Carnivora; Phocidae
Source: RefSeq, a predicted model, not a curated record